GUCUUGCAGCAGCGUGCCGGCGCGGAUGAGGAGACCACCCCACUCUCCGGCGAUCGGCCCUUCUUCAUCGUCGUCACGUGCAAGACCCACAUCCAGAAGCCCUAUCUGCUGAUAAUCCCGGCUAACUUCUAGCACCGGCUGCAGGCGAGGCGCACGCCAGUGGUGCUCCGGUGCCGUGGGAGCUCAUGGAUCAUCAGCUACUGUGGCCACACCAAGCUGAAGAACCUCGACGCGGGCUGGGCGGACUUCGCCGUCGACAAGCGGCUGCAGGUUGGAGAUGCGCGUGUGUUCGACCUGGUGUCCAGGGAUGCCGAUUGCGGCAAGUGGAAGGUGGUGCUGGAGGUGCAGGUGCUUCGAGGUGGUGGCCUGCCGGAGCCCGAGGAUCUUGGCACCAAAGGAGACACCGCCGAUGAGCCCAUCACCAUCAUGGACUAG
This 435-nucleotide ribosomal RNA is filed under the name Triticum aestivum (bread wheat). RNAcentral's name for it is "partial small subunit ribosomal RNA". Lineage: Eukaryota; Viridiplantae; Streptophyta; Magnoliopsida; Poales; Poaceae. The record is from RNAcentral.